AGCAGCCGCGGUAAUUCCAGCUCCAAUAGCGUAUAUUAAAGUUGUUGCAGUUAAAAGCUCGUAGUUGAAUUUCGGGGUUUAUACAUUGGUCGGGCUUUUUGGUCUGUACUUAUGUAAUGGAUUCCUACCUUCUGAAUAACUAGCAUGCCAUUAAUUUGGUGCGCCGGGGAAGCAGGACUGUUACCUUGAAAAAUUGAGUGCUUAAAGCAGGCUAUCGCCUGAAUACAUUAGCAUGGAAUAAUGAAAUAGGACGGCAUGGUUCUAUUUUGUUGGUUUCUAGGAUCACCGUAAUGAUUAAUAGGGAUAGUUGGGGGCAUUAGUAUUCAAUUGUCAGAGGUGAAAUUCUUGGAUUUAUUGAAGUACUAACUUCUGCGAAAGCAUUUGCCAAGGAUGUUUCAUUAUCAAGAACGAAGUUAGGGGAUCGAAGACGAUCAGAUACCGUCGUAGUCUUAACCAUAAACUAUAGCCGACUAGGGAUCGGACGUAUUGUUAAUUUUUAUGUACUUCGUU
RNAcentral lists this unclassified non-coding RNA (510 nucleotides) under uncultured Acaulospora. Its description in RNAcentral is "SSU rRNA". It matches the Rfam family "Eukaryotic small subunit ribosomal RNA", at positions 569 to 1084 of the family's 1831-position model. The record is from RNAcentral. Lineage: Eukaryota; Fungi; Glomeromycota; Glomeromycetes; Diversisporales; Acaulosporaceae.